Molecule: ribosomal RNA, 1371 nt
Filed under: uncultured bacterium
Lineage: Bacteria
Description: bacterial SSU rRNA
Rfam family: Bacterial small subunit ribosomal RNA
Source: RNAcentral
AGAGUUUGAUCCUGGCUCAGGAUGAACGCUGGCGGCGUGCUUAACACAUGCAAGUCGAGCGAUGAAGUUUCCUUCGGGAAACGGAUUAGCGGCGGACGGGUGAGUAACACGUGGGUAACCUGCCUCAUAGAGUGGAAUAGCCUUCCGAAAGGAAGAUUAAUACCGCAUAAUGUUGAAAGAUGGCAUCAUCAUUCAACCAAAGGAGCAAUCCGCUAUGAGAUGGACCCGCGGCGCAUUAGCUAGUUGGUGGGGUAACGGCCCACCAAGGCGACGAUCAGUAGCCGACCUGAGAGGGUGAUCGGCCACAUUGGAACUGAGACACGGUCCAAACUCCUACGGGAGGCAGCAGUGGGGAAUAUUGCACAAUGGGCGCAAGCCUGAUGCAGCAACGCCGCGUGAGCGAUGAAGGCCUUCGGGUCGUAAAGCUCUGUCCUCAAGGAAGAUAAUGACGGUACUUGAGGAGGAAGCCCCGGCUAACUACGUGCCAGCAGCCGCGGUAAUACGUAGGGGGCUAGCGUUAUCCGGAUUUACUGGGCGUAAAGGGUGCGUAGGCGGUCUUUCAAGUCAGGAGUUAAAGGCUACGGCUCAACCGUAGUAAGCUCCUGAUACUGUCUGACUUGAGUGCAGGAGAGGAAAGCGGAAUUCCCAGUGUAGCGGUGAAAUGCGUAGAUAUUGGGAGGAACACCAGUAGCGAAGGCGGCUUUCUGGACUGUAACUGACGCUGAGGCACGAAAGCGUGGGGAGCAAACAGGAUUAGAUACCCUGGUAGUCCACGCUGUAAACGAUGAAUACUAGGUGUGGGAGGACUGACCCCUUCCGUGCCGCAGUUAACACAAUAAGUAUUCCACCUGGGGAGUACGACCGCAAGGUUGAAACUCAAAGGAAUUGACGGGGGCCCGCACAAGCAGUGGAUUAUGUGGUUUAAUUCGACGCAACGCGAAGAACCUUACCAGGAUUUGACAUCCCACUAACGAAGCAGAGAUGCAUUAGGUGCCCUUCGGGGAAAGUGGAGACAGGUGGUGCAUGGUUGUCGUCAGCUCGUGUCGUGAGAUGUUGGGUUAAGUCCCGCAACGAGCGCAACCCCUAUUGUUAGUUGCUACGAAAGAGCACUCUAGCAAGACUGCCGUUGACAAAACGGAGGAAGGCGGGGACGACGUCAAAUCAUCAUGCCCCUUAUGUCCUGGGCUACACACGUAAUACAAUGGCGGUCAACAAAGGGAAGCAAUACCGCGAGGUGGAGCAAAUCCCCAAAAGCUGUCUCAGUUCGGAUUGCAGGCUGCAACUCGCCUGCAUGAAGCUGGAAUUGCUAGUAAUCGUGGAUCAGCAUGCCACGGUGAAUACGUUCCCGGGCCUUGCACUCACCGCCCGUCA